GUAGGGAAUCUUCGGCAAUGGACGAAAGUCUGACCGAGCAACGCCGCGUGAGUGAAGAAGGUUUUCGGAUCGUAAAACUCUGUUGUUAGAGAAGAAUGUUGAUUAGAGUGGAAAAUUAAUCAAGUGACGGUAUCUAACCAGAAAGGGACGGCUAACUACGUGCCAGCAGCCGCGGUAAUACGUAGGUCCCGAGCGUUGUCCGGAUUUAUUGGGCGUAAAGCGAGCGCAGGUGGUUUAAUAAGUCUGAUGUAAAAGGCAGUGGCUCAACCAUUGUGUGCAUUGGAAACUGUUAGACUUGAGUGCAGUAGAGGAGAGUGGAAUUCCAUGUGUAGCGGUGAAAUGCGUAGAUAUAUGGAGGAACACCGGUGGCGAAAGCGGCUCUCUGGACUGUCACUGACACUGAGGCUCGAAAGCGUGGGUAGCAAACAGGAUUAGAUACCCUGGUAGUCC
This 450-nucleotide ribosomal RNA is filed under the name uncultured bacterium. RNAcentral's name for it is "partial 16S ribosomal RNA". It matches the Rfam family "Bacterial small subunit ribosomal RNA", at positions 354 to 796 of the family's 1533-position model. The record is from RNAcentral.